Molecule: long non-coding RNA, 2422 nt
Organism: Triticum aestivum (bread wheat)
Lineage: Eukaryota; Viridiplantae; Streptophyta; Magnoliopsida; Poales; Poaceae
Exons: 5
Source: RefSeq, a predicted model, not a curated record
ACGGUCAGCGGCGGCGACACGGCGAGCUCCUCUUCGUGCCUCGCCGCUGCUCAUCUUCCUCUCCGUCCCAUUGCAGGUCGACGGGACGGGAGGAGCCGCGGGCCGCUGCUCCUCCACCGGCACCGAGCAGCGCCACCGUAGGUCCACCCCGCGUGUCGCCGCAUGUCCUUCUUGUUGCCUCUGAUGGGGUGGGGAUAAGACACGCAUCUGCGGAUCUGCCUCCGGUGCUCCACCACCUUUCCAUGAAGCUGCAGUCUUGCUUCGCUGGUCCUGUGAAAUGCCUGCUCAAGAAGGCACACUUGGUCAAGCAGGAUCUUAAUCAAGUUCAUCAAUGCACCCAAGAUUGCCCAUAUCCCCAUCAAACCCUUGCCACAUUGGUGAUGGGCGAUGCAGUCUAGGCACAGCCAGUUUCUGAUAUUAUUCUGAGGAGAUACACAUCCAUGUAUUAUGCGGAACAUGGCUUCAAAUAGCUGGAUGCCGAAAUGGAUACAUGUUUUAGUGCUAAGUUGCAGUGUUGCUCCCAUGAGACAUGAUGCUUUUUGUCACAUUAGAACAGAGGAAGAUCUGCAGUUAUGUUCCUGAUCUUAGGUUUUGCAGUCAAUGCUAACUUCGCACGAUUGUUGAAGAUACUUGGCUUUCCUUUUUAUCCUGUAGACUGCUAGGGAAAACAUGCAUGUUAUUUGUCAAAGCCUGCUCUGUUGGGGCUCUAAGAACUCUAUGACUGCUCCACCAUCUCAGCUCAGGGUCAGCCUAUACGCCGAUGACGCGGCUCUGUUCAUGUCUCCUUCGGCAGCAGACAUUCAAACUACCAAACAAAUCCUCCUGCUCUUCGGUUCUGCCUCUGGGCUCAAGGCCAAUGUUCAGAAAAGUGUUCUUCUUCAUAUUGCUUGUGAUGAUAUUAACCUCCAAGAUCUGCUACAGAACUUCCCGGUUCCCAUCAGUCAGUUCCUUGCAAAUACCUGGGUUUGCCUCUCCACUUCAGGAACAUCACAAGAACGGGCAUCCAGCCAACUCUUGUUAAACUGGUAUCUAGGCUGCAAGGUUGGUGUGGUAAGCUUCUAUCUAGUGAUGCUCGCCUUCAGCUGAUAAACUCGGUACUCUCGGCAAUCCCCGUAUACCUCAUCUCCCUUUUCAAGCUGGAUAACUGAGCCAUCAAACAAAUAGAUAAGCUGAGAAGGAAUUUUCUGUGGCGCUCCAAACCUGACGCUGCGGGUGGCAUGGCUCUUAUGAAUUGCAAAACUGUGUGUCGUGCCAAAGCUCGGGGUGGCUUUGGCGUACUCGGUCUCAGAAGAUUUUGACGUGCCCUGCGACUGCUGGAAGUGGUUUGACUGGACUGAUAAGGAUAAGCCUUUGGUCUUGCUCCUCCAUCCCCUGCAUGUGACAAAGAUGACUUGGCUGGCUCUCUUCUCGGCUUCCACAUAUGUCAUGGUUGGCAAUGGUCAGCGCACCAGUUUCUGGUGUGAUCAAUGGCUUGAUGGGCAGGUUCUGCGCUACUCUGCUCCUGACAUCUUCAAGCUCUCUAAGUGCAAGAACAUUUCUGUUGCACACACACUUACAGAUCAUGGUUGGGUGUUUGGGCUGCAAAGGAUGUCAGUGAUUUCUGAGCUUCGGCAACUCACACAAGUCUGGCUACGUCUGAAGCAGGUAUCAUUGCAACCAGAUACUGAGGACACCGUUAGCUGGGUCUGGAACCCCUCCCAGGUGUACACGGCUGCAUCCUCGUACCACUGCCAGUUUCUUUGUUCCUUCUCCCACUUAGCAUUUGAUAAGCUUUGGAAGGCCCUGGUUCCUGCCAAGUGUCAUUUCUUCAUGUGGUUAUGGCUUCGGGGAAGAAUCCAAACAAAUGACAAUCUGGAGAUUCAUGGCAUUCCCUGUAAUGAUGCAUGCAACUUAUGUGAUCAAGAAGAUGAAUACCCUUUGCACCUUAUUCUGAAAUGCUCCUAUGCUAGAACAGUUUGGCAGCAGGUUGCGAACUGGAGUGACACCCCUGCUUUGGCCACUCAUGCCCAAGAAACUGAGUCCAUCACGGAGUGGUCAAAUGAGCACACCUGCAACUUGCCCAAGAAACUGAGUCCAUCACGGAGUGGUCAAAUGAGCACACCUGCAACUUGCCCAAGAAACAUGUAUCCACUGCAAUCUACACUGCAUGGAAUCUAUGGAAAGAGUGUAACAGGCGAGUCUUGGAGCGCAAGUUCUUAAAUGAAGCUGCUCUUUUAUCCAAUGAAGCAAGAUAUAUUGCAACCGAGUUUCUCCUUCUGCUGGAUAAUCGAUGUUCAAAAUGCACCAGAACCUGAGCCUGACUAGUUCUCUAUUAGCUUGGUGUGGGACACCUUAACCCCAACCUCUUGUAAAACAAGGAAUUUGUAUUUGUUUUCUCCUACUUAAUAUAUCGGCAGCAAAACUGCCAAAUUCCUCAAAAAAA